UGAGGAAUUUUCGGCAAUGGGGGAAACCCUGACCGAGCAACGCCGCGUGCAGGAUGACGGCCUUCGGGUUGUAAACUGCUUUUCUUUGGGACGAGUAAGGACGGUACCAGAGGAACAAGCCCCGGCUAACUACGUGCCAGCAGCCGCGGUAAUACGUAGGGGGCGAGCGUUGUCCGGAGUUACUGGGCGUAAAGCGCAUGCAGGCGGUCCUGUAAGUUUGGAGUGACAGUUUCCGGCUUAACUGGGAAAGUGCUUCGAAAACUGCAGGACUUGAGGGCUUCAGAGGGACACGGAAUUCCGGGUGGAGUGGUGAAAUGCGUAGAUAUCCGGAGGAACACCGAAGGCGAAGGCAGUGUCCUGGGGAGCACCUGACGCUCAGAUGCGAAAGCCAGGGGAGCGAACGGGAUUAGAUACCCGCGUAGUCC
Molecule: ribosomal RNA, 425 nt
Filed under: uncultured bacterium
Lineage: Bacteria
Description: bacterial SSU rRNA
Rfam family: Bacterial small subunit ribosomal RNA
Source: RNAcentral